AUAUAUAUAUAAUGUGGAAUUAAGCUCAUGUGUUUUUAAAAAAUAUUAAAGUAUUGAUGCUUGUAAGUCUUUCGCUCUUGGAUUCAGAAAUGUGCGGUUAUGAUAAUAAUAAUAUUUUAUGAUUGAAUAGAUCAUUGGUUGAACAGUAUGAUCGAACGAGUGAAAAUGAUCAAAGGAUAGAUCUAAAGGUGAAAAAUUUAUAAACACUAAGUGCUUACUAAUUUUAAAAACAUCAUAGUGGGACACUCUCUCUCUCUCUCUCUCUCUCUCUCUCUCUCUCUCUAUAUAUAUAUAUAUAUAGGUUAAAAAUAUUAUAUUUUGGCAGCUUAAGUUUUAGAGAUAAAUGAUUAUUUUACACAAUAUCAUAAUAGAACGUCCUGAAUUCGAAUCCAAUUUAUUUCAAACGUGAGAGAAAGUACUGAAUGUAAAUAUUUUUUAUUUAUUUAGAGAAAAAUUGCUGAAUAUAAAUAUUUUUUUGAAAGAAAGGUAGCCGGCAUAUUACAGACUUCGUUUAUUUUUUUUUUUUAAAUUGAAAAUAUAAAGUAAUCCGGCUUCAAAUUUGAAACCUCCAGUAGCAAUCACCAAUUUCUUUGCCACUUAUACUGAAUAUAAAUAUUAAAAAAUGUAAUAAAUUUUAUUGAUUGUCCACUAAAUUAAUUAAGCUUCUUUCUGACAAAGCAGAUCUGCUCGCUAGCCAUUACUCGAAGUAAUCUAAUUGGAUCCUAAAAUUAAAAGAUCAAUUUGGUCCACUCGAAAAUUCAAUUAAUCAGGAUUCUUUAUGACAUUCAUGAUGGUCCUCUAGCAUUAUUUUACAAUUUUGAUACAAGCAUGUGUUAGAACUAAAACCGAGAAAAUCUAGUUCGUCGGAUGCGAAAAUACCAAAAGUUUCGAGAAAGAGAGAAGAAAAAUAAAGCACACAAUAUUUACGUGGUUCGGCCAACGGCCUACGUCCACGGGCGAAGACGGAACAGAAAUCUUCAUUAGAAUCAAAGUGGUGUACAAAAUAUAUCUCUCUCACAAAACUCUAAUCCUAAAAAAUACACCCAUAUUCCCUCUCUCAUCUUUCGCACCAAAUCAAUGGUAUAAAGGAUAUAUUUAUAAUAGUGGUUAAAUCCUAAUACAAUUAGGAAUACAAAUCCACUAAGAUUAUGAAUAUCUCAAUAAAAUCAGGCAUAAUCUAAAUUUAACUUAAUGGAAUAAUCAAAAUAGAAUAGGAUUAGAAAAUCUUGCGAUACUAGAAUUCGAGACAUAUCUAACAGCAUGUAUUUAUACGUACACACACACACGCACACAUAAUUUUCUCCUUUUUUUUUUUUUCCCACCUUCAUUCAUGUGUAAACUAC
This 1343-nucleotide long non-coding RNA is filed under the name Ananas comosus (pineapple). RNAcentral describes it as "long non-coding RNA (ACOM_LNC011298)". Lineage: Eukaryota; Viridiplantae; Streptophyta; Magnoliopsida; Poales; Bromeliaceae. The record is from RNAcentral.